RNAcentral lists this long non-coding RNA (239 nucleotides) under Capsicum annuum. RNAcentral's name for it is "long non-coding RNA (CANN_LNC014092)". Lineage: Eukaryota; Viridiplantae; Streptophyta; Magnoliopsida; Solanales; Solanaceae. The record is from RNAcentral.
GACUAGCUUGACCCAGUAAUUAGCCACAACCACAUCACGAGGCUUAGCCUAGGGAAUAGAGUCUGUACCACGACAGUCAUAGCAUAGGACCAGGCUUUACACCACGAGGCUAUCGCGGACCCUCACUGGAAUUCAUCUUGGGAACUAAUUUAGCCUCUGCAUCGUUGUAAUAUUGCGGAGGCUCACUGGAAUUUUCCAUCGACACUAAAAUCACAUGGGAUGAUGCAGAGCUCAAUGCG